GCAAACAAACAGGCUGUUUCAGCCUGCUUCCAGACAAUUCAGACAAUGUAGAACAACUGGAGAUUCUUGGCACAAUCCCUCUCAAGAUUAUCACCCAUUUCUGUUUUUCCUAUAAACACGUUAUGAAAAUGCUGGAUGUGUACAACCGCUGUUGAGUAGCACUCUACUACAUGAGUAGACACAGUUCAGGAUGUUUACCCAGCCCCUGCUGACCCUGUGACAUCUGGCCACUGCUUAAUUGAACCUCACCAAGUACAACCUUUGGGCAAUUAUUCUUUCAGCCCUUCCUUCCUUCUCAUUCUUCUACUUCCUUUCAAGCUCUGAGAGGGAGAGCCGUGGCCAGUCAGUACCUCCCUGAAGAUUUUCACCUGCUAGUGCCCAGCAUCACUCAUGACACUAUAACCACUUCCCAUAGAAGUAAUAAAGAAGAAUAAUACUGACUGUGUCCAGUCCUGGAUGCAAGUUCCUUGGUUGCUUCUGGUUGGCUUCAGGUCACCAGUCUUCACAGCUAGCCCCAAAAGCAGAACCAACCACAGGAGCAACUCAUUCUGCAAGUUAAGGACCACAGAAGACAGAUGGGAGCAAUAUAUUAAGAAAGUUGCUGCGCCUUCUCUUCUAUUCCUGCGCAGCUUCUGUGUCCAUCAAAGUGAGCUUUGGUAUUUUGAACAUUUUCUGAGCACUCCCA
This 685-nucleotide long non-coding RNA is filed under the name Anas platyrhynchos platyrhynchos (common mallard). RNAcentral's name for it is "lncRNA (ENSAPLG00000027830.1)". Lineage: Eukaryota; Metazoa; Chordata; Aves; Anseriformes; Anatidae. The record is from RNAcentral.